Lolium perenne is the source of this 884-nucleotide long non-coding RNA. RefSeq lists it as uncharacterized. The record is from RefSeq and is a predicted model, not a curated record. Lineage: Eukaryota; Viridiplantae; Streptophyta; Magnoliopsida; Poales; Poaceae.
GCGACCGCCGGGAUCCCCGCAUCAAAUCCUCAUCUUCGCCGCUGCUCCCGGACGCGUGUGGUCGAGGGCCAGGUAGUAUGGAUCCAGAUUUCGUCUGGGCGUGCAUGGUCAAGGGCUCUCCGCACGCGUGAGGAUCCCUGCGAGCGCAGCCUCUGAACUCCACCGAGCAUGACGUGCACCGUUCUACGAUCCGAAGCUGGUCAAUAGCAGAGCGGGAGGCGAGAGGGGAUUUGGACCAACACGCGGUCGGCAGCAGCCGAGCGGCGUGCGACGGGCCGACGGCGGACGCUAGAGACCGCAAGGUAUCGCAACCAGAUUCCCCCGCCCCCAAGAGCUUCCCGUCGUUACUUCCAAGAGAUCCCCACCGCUGACUCCCCGCCGGCAGCCCGCUGUAAUAGGUGGGUUGCGGUGGUUAGCCUCUCCCUCACCAGACUCCAUCCAGCCUAAAUGGCCUUCCGCGACAAGGUCCCUUACAGAUUCUUCGCAGGCGCCGCCAUCCUUCCAUGGAGAUCGAGACGGGCCAUGUUCUCGGGGGAAGGGAUACGUGAAUGAGGACGGGGGAGCGACGAGGGGAAUAUAGGACCAUGUCGGUGGCGGUCGCGCACAGCUAGGCGGAGAGACGGGCGGGACGUCGAUGAACAUUAGAGCACGCGCCGGAGCAGAAGCUAGCAGCGGCGGCGGCAGUGAAGCUUGCGUGUGUGGUGACCAAAGGGAGGGGAUAAGUUUGGGCUGUUGGGGUGCGUAGCUUUGCUGGCCUGGCCCAUGGACCAGUUCGGCUGCACCUAGCUUGGCAGAUGGGCCUAACGGGUAUGAGUACCUAUGUGAUGGGCUAUACGAUAAAUGACAGCUGGGUGAAAUAAGACCUGCUUCGACAGUACUAGGUA